This 1236-nucleotide long non-coding RNA is filed under the name Bemisia tabaci. RNAcentral describes it as "lncRNA ENSSSA3NGG005938". The record is from RNAcentral. Lineage: Eukaryota; Metazoa; Arthropoda; Insecta; Hemiptera; Aleyrodidae.
AUGCUACGACCCGAAACUGGAGAUCGUCCACCUAUACUAGGACCAAUGGCCGACCGAUAUCGCGAUAACCCCUGCGGCCGGAAAUUCUCUUGCUACCCUAGCGGCAUCGACGCUAAGAAUACCAACAACGGAUGCAACGGCAAAUAUGCGGUCGCCGAACUGAAGAACUGCGGAGAGGUCCCCUACCCCAACUACUGCAUCAACAACCCGCCGAACGGUGCCAUCAACUACUGCACCAGCCCUCCCGUCACAUACGGGUACCCGGAUUACUUUCUCAGCGUACAAGCACUUCUUUACGACUGCGCCUACGGGCUAUUCUGCCUGGACGCCGGCCGGGCCAGGGACGACAAACAGAUCAUCUACGAGGCAUCCAAAGGCGGAACCAAAGUCGUUUUAGUCGACACGUGUAGUGACUGCGUCGUUCGGACGUACUGUUUCCCGGAUGACGUCGCCACGCCAAAGUCGUACUUCAUCAACAUGGCCGUGGACAACGUCAAAAACGUCUUGUACAUCGCAGAUGCGCCAGGUUACUCCAUCGUCGUCCUAGACUUAUGCACUGGGAAAUCCUACAUAGCUUUCCAGGGAGACCCGACGCUGAUGUGGAUUCAAGGCGGGUUGGAUUGGGUCUGGGGUCAGCCGUCGUAUAGCACGGGGACGAUUCUGAACUGUGAUGGGAAAGAGUCCAACUGUGAGAUCCAAAUAGGGUCGAUCCCGUUCGGGGUCUCGACGCUGUCCCUCUCGUGCGACAGGAAGAGGCUUUACUACAGCCAGCUCGGGGGUCGCACGCUGUGGUCGGUGGAUACGAAGGCGCUAUUAGCGGCUGAUGGGGUCGCUGAGACGAUAGUGAAUAACGGUGAGAAGGGGGUGACCCUGGGGUUGAUAACCGAUAAACAAGGGUUGAUUUGGUCUGGCAAUGCGGAGAACGAUGCGAUCGUGUACUACAAUCCCUGUUGUGCCUUCGCGAAGACGUACCUGUACAUACGGGACCCGAGGUUGAGUUGGGUGCACGGGUUCAGCGAGGCGGGAGAUGGGUAUAUGUACUGUCUUGCUAACUACAUAAACGGUAUCAACCUGGUGUACCCGGGGACGGGGCCUAUCUAUGCGGAUAGAAGGAAGAAACCGUACGUUUUGUUAAGUUUAAGAUACCAUGCGACUGUCUCUGUCCAAAUUUCUGUACUGAACCAACCCUGGGGAAGCAAGUCUCUUGCGGGUGAAUUGCAGUUGAGUACGCCGUAG